CCUACGGGCGGCAGCAGUGAGGAAUAUUGGUCAAUGGCCGUAAGGCUGAACCAGCCAAGUAGCGUGAGGGAAGACUGCCCUAUGGGUUGUAAACCUCUUUUAUGCGGGGAUAAAGGUGUCCACGUGUGGCUGUUUGCAGGUACCGCAUGAAUAAGGACCGGCUAAUUCCGUGCCAGCAGCCGCGGUAAUACGGAGGGUCCGGGCGUUAUCCGGAUUUAUUGGGUUUAAAGGGAGCGUAGGCCGGUCUUUAAGCGUGCCGUGAAAUUUUGUGGCUCAACCAUGAGAGUGCGGGGGGUACUGGAGACCUUGAGUGCGCGGAAGGCAGGCGGAAUUCGUGGUGUAGCGGUGAAAUGCUUAGAUAUCACGAAGAACCCCGAUUGCGAAGGCAGCCUGCCGCAGCGUUACUGACGCUGAAGCUCGAAAGCGCGGGUAUCGAACAGGAUUAGAUACCCUUGUAGUC
This 460-nucleotide ribosomal RNA is filed under the name uncultured bacterium. RNAcentral's name for it is "partial 16S ribosomal RNA". It matches the Rfam family "Bacterial small subunit ribosomal RNA", at positions 338 to 795 of the family's 1533-position model. The record is from RNAcentral.